UUGACGGGGCCCGCACAAGCGGUGGAGCAUGUGGUUUAAUUCGAAGCAACGCGAAGAACCUUACCAGGUCUUGACAUCCCCUGACAACCCGAGAGAUCGGGCGUUCCCCUUCGGGGGGACAGGGUGACAGGUGGUGCAUGGUUGUCGUCAGCUCGUGUCGUGAGAUGUUGGGUUAAGUCCCGCAACGAGCGCAACCCUCGACCUUAGUUGCCAGCAUUCAGUUGGGCACUCUAAGGUGACUGCCGGCUAAAAGUCGGAGGAAGUGGGGAUGACGUCAAAUCAUCAUGCCCCUUAUGACCUGGGCUACACACGUGCUACAAUGGUUGGUACAACGAGUUGCGAGUCGGUGACGGCGAGCUAAUCUCUUAAAGCCAAUCUCAGUUCGGAUUGUAGGCUGCAACUCGCCUACAUGAAGUCGGAAUCGCUAGUAAUCGCGGAUCAGCACGCCGCGGUGAAUACGUUCCCGGGCCUU
Molecule: ribosomal RNA, 472 nt
Filed under: uncultured Streptococcus sp.
Lineage: Bacteria; Bacillati; Bacillota; Bacilli; Lactobacillales; Streptococcaceae
Description: bacterial SSU rRNA
Rfam family: Bacterial small subunit ribosomal RNA
Source: RNAcentral